UGCAGUCGAGCGGAUGAGGGUAGCUUGCUAUCUGAUUCAGCGGCGGACGGGUGAGUAAUGCCUAGGAAUCUGCCUGGUAGUGGGGGACAACGUUUCGAAAGGAACGCUAAUACCGCAUACGUCCUACGGGAGAAAGUGGGGGAUCUUCGGACCUCACGCUAUCAGAUGAGCCUAGGUCGGAUUAGCUAGUAGGUGGGGUAAUGGCUCACCUAGGCGACGAUCCGUAACUGGUCUGAGAGGAUGAUCAGUCACACUGGAACUGAGACACGGUCCAGACUCCUACGGGAGGCAGCAGUGGGGAAUAUUGGACAAUGGGCGAAAGCCUGAUCCAGCCAUGCCGCGUGUGUGAAGAAGGUCUUCGGAUUGUAAAGCACUUUAAGUUGGGAGGAAGGGUUGUAGCCUAAUACGUUGCAAUUUUGACGUUACCGACAGAAUAAGCACCGGCUAACUUCGUGCCAGCAGCCGCGGUAAUACGAAGGGUGCAAGCGUUAAUCGGAAUUACUGGGCGUAAAGCGCGCGUAGGUGGUUCAUUAAGUUGGAUGUGAAAGCCCUGGGCUCAACCUGGGAACUGCAUCCAAAACUGGUGAGCUAGAGUACGGUAGAGGGUAGUGGAAU
RNAcentral lists this ribosomal RNA (615 nucleotides) under Pseudomonas sp. A37T10. Its description in RNAcentral is "bacterial SSU rRNA". It matches the Rfam family "Bacterial small subunit ribosomal RNA", at positions 56 to 667 of the family's 1533-position model. The record is from RNAcentral. Lineage: Bacteria; Pseudomonadati; Pseudomonadota; Gammaproteobacteria; Pseudomonadales; Pseudomonadaceae.